This 718-nucleotide ribosomal RNA is filed under the name Vibrio sp. RNAcentral describes it as "bacterial SSU rRNA". It matches the Rfam family "Bacterial small subunit ribosomal RNA", at positions 57 to 756 of the family's 1533-position model. Lineage: Bacteria; Pseudomonadati; Pseudomonadota; Gammaproteobacteria; Vibrionales; Vibrionaceae. The record is from RNAcentral.
GCAGUCGAGCGGAACGAGUUAUCUGAACCUUCGGGGAACGAUAACGGCGUCGAGCGGCGGACGGGUGAGUAAUGCCUAGGAAAUUGCCCUGAUGUGGGGGAUAACCAUUGGAAACGAUGGCUAAUACCGCAUGAUGCCUACGGGCCAAAGAGGGGGACCUUCGGGCCUCUCGCGUCAGGAUAUGCCUAGGUGGGAUUAGCUAGUUGGUGAGGUAAGGGCUCACCAAGGCGACGAUCCCUAGCUGGUCUGAGAGGAUGAUCAGCCACACUGGAACUGAGACACGGUCCAGACUCCUACGGGAGGCAGCAGUGGGGAAUAUUGCACAAUGGGCGCAAGCCUGAUGCAGCCAUGCCGCGUGUGUGAAGAAGGCCUUCGGGUUGUAAAGCACUUUCAGUCGUGAGGAAGGUAGUGUAGUUAAUAGCUGCAUUAUUUGACGUUAGCGACAGAAGAAGCACCGGCUAACUCCGUGCCAGCAGCCGCGGUAAUACGGAGGGUGCGAGCGUUAAUCGGAAUUACUGGGCGUAAAGCGCAUGCAGGUGGUUUGUUAAGUCAGAUGUGAAAGCCCGGGGCUCAACCUCGGAAUAGCAUUUGAAACUGGCAGACUAGAGUACUGUAGAGGGGGGUAGAAUUUCAGGUGUAGCGGUGAAAUGCGUAGAGAUCUGAAGGAAUACCGGUGGCGAAGGCGGCCCCCUGGACAGAUACUGACACUCAGAUGCGA